This 255-nucleotide ribosomal RNA is filed under the name Bacillus cereus. RNAcentral's name for it is "partial 23S ribosomal RNA". It matches the Rfam family "Bacterial large subunit ribosomal RNA", at positions 1463 to 1715 of the family's 2925-position model. The record is from RNAcentral. Lineage: Bacteria; Bacillati; Bacillota; Bacilli; Caryophanales; Bacillaceae.
AAUGGAGGGACGCAGAAGGAUAGAAGAAGCGUGCGAUUGGUUGUGCACGUCCAAGCAGUUAGGCUGAUAAGUAGGCAAAUCCGCUUAUCGUGAAGGCUGAGCUGUGAUGGGGAAGCUCCUUAUGGAGUGAAGUCUUUGAUUCCCCGCUGCCAAGAAAAGCUUCUAGCGAGAUAAAAGGUGCCUGUACCGCAAACCGACACAGGUAGGCGAGGAGAGAAUCCUAAGGUGUGCGAGAGAACUCUGGUUAAGGAACUC